GACGAACGCUGGCGGCGUGCUUAACACAUGCAAGUCGAACGGAAAGGCCCUGCUUUUGUGGGGUUCUCGAGUGGCGAACGGGUGAGUAACACGUGAGUAACCUGCCCUUGACUUUGGGAUAACUUCAGGAAACUGGGGCUAAUACCGGAUAGGAGCUCCUGCUGCAUGGUGGGGGUUGGAAAGUUUCGGCGGUUGGGGAUGGACUCGCGGCUUAUCAGCUUGUUGGUGGGGUAGUGGCUUACCAAGGCUUUGACGGGUAGCCGGCCUGAGAGGGUGACCGGGCACAUUGGGACUGAGAUACGGCCCAGACUCCUACGGGAGGCAGCAGUGGGGAAUAUUGCACAAUGGGCGGAAGCCUGAUGCAGAAACGCCGCGUGCGGGAUGACGGCCUUCGGGUUGUAAACCGCUUUCGCCUGUGACGAAGCGUGAGUGACGGUAAUGGGUAAAGAAGCACCGGCUAACUACGUG
This 468-nucleotide ribosomal RNA is filed under the name uncultured bacterium. Its description in RNAcentral is "partial 16S ribosomal RNA". It matches the Rfam family "Bacterial small subunit ribosomal RNA", at positions 28 to 507 of the family's 1533-position model. The record is from RNAcentral.